RNAcentral lists this ribosomal RNA (466 nucleotides) under uncultured bacterium. RNAcentral describes it as "partial 16S ribosomal RNA". It matches the Rfam family "Bacterial small subunit ribosomal RNA", at positions 28 to 507 of the family's 1533-position model. The record is from RNAcentral.
GAUGAACGCUGGCGGCGUGCUUAACACAUGCAAGUCGAACGAUGAAGCCCAGCUUGCCGGGUGGAUUAGUGGCGAACGGGUGAGUAACACGUGAGUAACCUGCCCUUGACUCUGGGAUAAGCCUGGGAAACUGGGUCUAAUACUGGAUAUGACUUCUCAUCGCAUGGUGGGGGGUGGAAAGAUUUAUUGGUCUUGGAUGGACUCGCGGCCUAUCAGCUUGUUGGUGAGGUAAUGGCUCACCAAGGCGACGACGGGUAGCCGGCCUGAGAGGGUGACCGGCCACACUGGGACUGAGACACGGCCCAGACUCCUACGGGAGGCAGCAGUGGGGAAUAUUGCACAAUGGGCGCAAGCCUGAUGCAGCGACGCCGCGUGAGGGAUGACGGCCUUCGGGUUGUAAACCUCUUUCAGUAGGGAAGAAGCGAGAGUGACGGUACCUGCAGAAGAAGCGCCGGCUAACUACGUG